UGCCCAAAUACAGGAGUUCAUCACCUUUGUAAUAAAUGAACAUACAAAAUUUAAUGCACUCAUAACAUGUGUCAGCUCUACUCCACCAAUCUACCAUCCCAGACAGCCAAGAAGGCAACUCAAAAAACCCUCAACUUUCAAACCCCUAUUUGAAACCUACCUUAUUUUCACCAUUUAAACUACUACUGAGUAUAUAUUCACUUCCUGGAUAAGGAAUGUGCACGAUUUCUAGCCACUUGGCAUGUAUUCAAGGGAAAUAAAGAUUUGAAAUAUGUCACUUUGACACUACAAAGCUAGCAAGUAGCAAAUCAAACCUAGAUCCUUCCUUGCAUCCCCAUUUAGACAUUAAACAAGGAUAUCCUAGAUAUCCUAAUUCAGUUUCUUAUAACUCAAUGGUAUUUUGUGACCAAAAAAUAUUUGUUUAUAAUAAUCUCCUUCCAAAGGGGGUCAGCUUAAAAGGAGCAUACCAACAACCAAAGGUGUCAACUUUCUCAAAAUUUGACAGCAUUCACGAUAGAUUAU
Molecule: long non-coding RNA, 522 nt
Organism: Ipomoea nil (Japanese morning glory)
Lineage: Eukaryota; Viridiplantae; Streptophyta; Magnoliopsida; Solanales; Convolvulaceae
Exons: 2
Source: RefSeq, a predicted model, not a curated record